This 235-nucleotide unclassified non-coding RNA is filed under the name plant metagenome. RNAcentral's name for it is "partial contains small subunit ribosomal RNA, internal transcribed spacer 1, and 5.8S ribosomal RNA". The record is from RNAcentral.
UCUCCGUUGGUGAACCAGCGGAGGGAUCAUUACCGAGUUUACAACUCCCAAACCCCCUGUGAACCUAUACCACACACCGUUGCUUCGGCGGGCUCUCCCCUCGCCCCGGGACAGGACUGCCCCGGGAACAGGCGCCCGCCGGGGGACCCAAACUCUUGUAUCUUACCUACGGAAUGUCUGAGUGGAAUCAUUACAGAAUGAAUCAAAACUUUCAACAACGGAUCUCUUGGUUCUG